AGUGAGCCCGUUUUACUAACAUGCUGUGUUAAAAUCUAAUUCAGGUUUGUUGUAUAUCAUUUACUGUUACAGAGGAAUAGCAGACUCCAGUAUUCUCUAUUCUGAUAGCCCUGAGUCCUUGGAGAUUUGCUUUCCUGAUGUGUUGGCAUCACUGGGAGUCAGAGGUGAAGAGCUUUCCUGUGCCAGAAGCUUGUAACUACUUAGAGCUCAGCAGCUUGACACUGCUGCUGCAUUUACCUCUUUCUCCAGAGAACCAGCAGAAUAUGGAACAAAACUCCUUAGAAAAGCACUUAAAAUGAUGCCAAUUUUAACUGCACCAGGGGAAGGUCCUUUUAGGUUUUGCAAGGACAAGCAGAAGUGACAGCUCUUGUCUUGAAUUCUGUUUUUGCCUUCAGCAUCCCUUAUGGCCUGCAGGAUGCCUGUGCUUGCUGCCUGUUCUGAUGGUGAAAUGACACCUGGAGUUCUGCAGGGUUCAGUGUUAUUUACGGCUGAGAGCAGGGCUGAGUUCUGGAGCUUGCUUCAACUGCUGCCGAUCAUGCCUUGAGGUUUGGAGCUCCAGCAGACCCAGCAGGAGAAACAGGCUGUGGUGUCUGCAGUGAGGGUCUGUAGGGUGCUGAAACUUCAUCUUCUCAACGUGGGUUCAAGCUCACAGUAGCCAAAGUGUGUGGUGAUGCUGCUGGUUCCGAGUGCUUCCUGCAACCUGUGUGCUUGGAUGUUGAAGAGAAAUGAUUGUUCUGUUCCCAGUGCCCUUUCUUGCCUUUGCUGUGCUGCUGCUGAAUACCUCCCAGAGCUGUAACCUUGCCCUUCUCCCACUCAUCUCCCUCCUGAGCUGUUUUCACAUUCUGAAGCACUCUGCUUUCAGUCGGUGUUUUCCCUGCAUGCUAAGAAGGGUUAUAAAAAACCCCAAACAACUAAAUAAAGAUGCCACCUCCAGUGA
This is a long non-coding RNA of Neopsephotus bourkii (Bourke's parrot), 937 nucleotides long. RefSeq lists it as uncharacterized. The record is from RefSeq and is a predicted model, not a curated record. NCBI's taxonomy places the organism in Eukaryota, Metazoa, Chordata, Aves, Psittaciformes, Psittacidae. The transcript has 3 exons.